CUGCUCUCUGGGACACUUCAGUACUUGAGACAGUAGUGAGAUGCCUGGAGAGAAAACAGCAGGAAAGGUGUCUUCAUCCUUCCUGCAGGGAACAGGAAGUCUCGGGCACUAUGUGGGAGCAGAGGGCGCCCUGUGAGCCCCCAAGGAACAGGCUCUUAGGACCCUCAGAGGCAUGCCAUUUGGUGAGACAAGAACCCUUGCCCUGCCUCUCAAUUUCUGAAACAAGCUCUGUCCAACACCGCUGUGGAUGCUCUGCCCUCAAGAGGAGGCAAAUGGCCUGUUGGAGAUAUCAAAUCAACAUCAGCAAGCAAAAAAAAAUCAGAAUUAUGCCUGGCAGAACUUGUACGUAUAAAAAAUUAUGGGAAUUUUAAACUUGACAUUCCAGAAAAGUUAUAUGGCUCACUAAGCCUCAUUUUUCUGUUCUAUAAAAGAGGUAAGGCAAUAGUAUUGAAUGCAUAAGGUUAUUUGAAGAUUAAAGAAGUUAACAUAUGAAUAUUGAAUACAAUACC
RNAcentral lists this long non-coding RNA (509 nucleotides) under Felis catus (domestic cat). RNAcentral's name for it is "lncRNA (ENSFCAG00000044145.2)". The record is from RNAcentral. Lineage: Eukaryota; Metazoa; Chordata; Mammalia; Carnivora; Felidae.